This 442-nucleotide ribosomal RNA is filed under the name uncultured bacterium. RNAcentral's name for it is "partial 16S ribosomal RNA". It matches the Rfam family "Bacterial small subunit ribosomal RNA", at positions 338 to 795 of the family's 1533-position model. The record is from RNAcentral.
CCUACGGGAGGCAGCAGUGGGGAAUAUUGGGCAAUGGGCGCAAGCCUGACCCAGCAACGCCGCGUGAAGGAAGAAGGAUUUCGGGUUGUAAACUUCUUUUAAGAGGGAAGAGCAGAAGACGGUACUUCUUGAAUAAGCCACGGCUAACUACGUGCCAGCAGCCGCGGUAAUACGUAGGUGGCAAGCGUUGUCCGGAUUUACUGGGUGGAAAGGGCGUGUAGCCGGGCUGACAAGUCAGAUGUGAAAUCCCGUGGCUCAACCACGGAACUGCAUUUGAAACUGUCGGACUAGAGACGGCGAGAAGUACGCGGAAUGCGCGGUGUAGCGGUGAAAUGCAUAGAUAUCGCGCAGAACUCCGAUUGCGAAGGCAGCGUGCCGGCGCCGGACUGACGCUGAGGCACGAAAGCGUGGGUAUCGAACAGGAUUAGAUACCCUUGUAGUC